GUAGAUACAGAAGCUGCAUAUAUCUUAAGAGUUUUACAAAAAAAGUGUAAUUUUCAUAUGCUAUCAAUACUAUACAUCAACUCCAGAAUAUUGAUCACAAUAUGAGAAAAUUUUAAAAUAAGUUACAAAAAUAUAAAUUUUGAAAUACGAGGAGAUAUUUGAUGAAAGACUCACAAGCAUAUUAACAGUGCGAAAUUCAAAGUUUAUUCUAAUGAAACCCACACUAGAAUUCUCUUAACACUGGAGAUUGCUGAAUUAAUUCUGGAUUGGUGAAGUAAUUCUCUGCUACAGAGUACUAAUUAAUUCAUACUUUUGAUGGAUUACUUCACCGAUGAUGUUAUCAGGUCAUUUCACGCUUUCCAUAACCUCCAUGCCAGGAACAGAAAGCCAUCAUCAUUAACAACUUUCGGCUUUUUCAUCAGCGCUUCCUAUUUCUGGAUGCCAGAAGAUAUUCAGCUCUCAAACUCAGAGGCCAAGAAAACUACGCUUCUCUUG
RNAcentral lists this unclassified non-coding RNA (495 nucleotides) under Hevea brasiliensis (rubber tree). The record is from RNAcentral. Lineage: Eukaryota; Viridiplantae; Streptophyta; Magnoliopsida; Malpighiales; Euphorbiaceae.